This 31-nucleotide transfer RNA is filed under the name Poa pratensis (Kentucky bluegrass). Its description in RNAcentral is "partial tRNA-Leu". Lineage: Eukaryota; Viridiplantae; Streptophyta; Magnoliopsida; Poales; Poaceae. The record is from RNAcentral.
CUACGGACUUAAAAUCCGUCGACUUUAUAAG